GGGGAAAGGACUUGCAGGUAUAAAAAGAGUUAAUUGUAGAGAGCAAAAGGAGAUAAUUGCUUGCAGGGGCUGUAUCCACACAGCUGAGUCUUGUCUUCUAUUAGCAAGGAAUGCAGAAGUCACAUAUUUUUUUACAGGCAGAAAGAGUUUGCAAAGACUUGUGAGGGCUUUCUUUUCUGUUGGGUCUAUGGAUGGAAUUCUGUUAUAUGGAGAGAGCAUAGAGAAGGAGUGCAUGUUAAUAUUUGAAAGUGAGAAAGCUUUUAAGGUGAAUAACAAGAAACAGAACAGGCAACCAAAACCUUUGCAUCAGUCCUGAGAAAGCGUGACAAGGGAAAAAGGAGCACAAUUUGAUGGAAGCUGGAGUGCAGACAGUGUCCCCAGAUCUGGAGAAGCCAACAAAGAGGCAGGGUAGAUCCAGCAGGUGUGAGAUAUUUCAUCCGGAAACCAAACGUAAGACAGAGAUUGUUGUUUGCAUUCUGACAAGAAAAACACAAGGGCACCGCAAAACUCAAAGGAGCUUCAAAGAGCACAGGGUCAUCUGGGACAAGAAAUUUCAGCAACAAAUUCAGCAUGACUAGCCAGAUGGCUGAAGAUCAAGUGUGAAGCACGGGAAUGACUGAAAUACUGGCUCACACAGAGAGUUUUAGUGACCAGUCACCACCACACGUUUAAAAGGUUGUCCUACUCCAAGUACUGCCAGCACCAUCAGCAGUGGUGGCAAGAUGGUACUGGUGGAGAAGUGCAGUCAGAGCUCAAACAUUACCUAGAUUUUUCAAACUUAUGCAUCUUUUUUGGCCUGAAAAUUGUCAUUUCAGGUCUGAAAACUGCCAAGAUUUUCACUCGUGAUUGAAAAGUGAAGUUGGCAACUGUUCUCUUUG
Molecule: long non-coding RNA, 878 nt
Filed under: Phasianus colchicus (ring-necked pheasant)
Lineage: Eukaryota; Metazoa; Chordata; Aves; Galliformes; Phasianidae
Description: lncRNA (ENSPCLG00000001450.1)
Source: RNAcentral